This 1971-nucleotide long non-coding RNA is filed under the name Ananas comosus (pineapple). RNAcentral's name for it is "long non-coding RNA (ACOM_LNC038121)". The record is from RNAcentral. Lineage: Eukaryota; Viridiplantae; Streptophyta; Magnoliopsida; Poales; Bromeliaceae.
UGUCAUUUCGAGGGUUUGAAAGUUACUGGGGAGCGACGGUGGGUUCCGGUGUCGAAUCUGACACUUCCGGGAGUCCGAAUUUGAACGAUUAUCCGACGAUAGUUGUUUGGUUGUGUAUUCUUGUGUUUGCUGCCAAGACAUCCUAUUUGAUGUGUUUUGUGGUAGCAGGUGACUCGUAUCUCGAGUCGGUGAGUUCCGGGAUAUUUCGGGGGUCCCGACGGAGUUCCGGUGCGGUUUCGGGACUUCCGGCGAGUUACGGAAGUCGGUUUUGGGAAACCGAUCUCCGUGGGUUAAUUGUGAGGUUAUGCUUUUAGUAUUUCUUAGUUGUGGGUUAGAUAUUAACCCGGUGGACUCUCUGUAGGUCCGGUUGACAUUCUUUCGCAGUCAGGAGACAGGCGCGACAUCCUUACAGGUGGGUACUUCGAUCCGACGUCGGUACAGUGGUGCACGCUCGGUGAUGGUUUCUUACCCUUACUCUGCUGUUGUUACUAUUGCAUAGUAUAUAUUGAGCCUUGCACCCAUGUUAUUCCAUUAUACUCUGCUCGUUGUUUGCAUGCUUAGUAUCCUGAGUAGGAAUAGAGUAGUUCUAUCUAAAUGCAUACCUGUUGACCUGGUUGGUCGGUUGUUGCAUUCUGUAUCUGUUGACCUGGUUGGUCAGUUGUUGCAUUCCGUAUCUGUUGACCUGAUUGGUCGGUUCUCGUACUUCGUAUUAGUGACCUUGCUGGUCGGUUGGACUCUGUGGACCUUGGGUCCAUGCAACACAUUGACUCUCUUGUCAUGUGUUUCGAUCUGGUUGAUCGUGGUUCGGCGUUAUACGCCCUUGUUUCUGGCUUCGGCCUAGGCACCGGCUUCAGUCGGUUUUUGUUUGAGCAUACCAGCAUGACUUAGUCACAGCACUUGGGGGUGUUCACGACACCGGGUCGGUUUUGCCACCGACCGGAGGUGUGCUUAUCCGGAUGGUAGGGCGGGUGAAUCAGGUUGGUGCAGGUUAGUGACAGGCAGUGCUUGAGGUCUGCGGACCAAUAUAGCAGGUACCGGAUUGGGUAUAUUUGGACUUCUUGUCCGGUUGACGCAUAUAGCUAUAGUAGAGGUUGUUGCUUGUAUACCUUCAGUUCUUUCUUUACACUUGUCUUGCUACUAUAUUUUGUUGCAUGUAUACUUUCAGUUGUUCAUUACAGUAGCAGUAGUUGUACUUUUAUUUAUAUAUAUGUCUCUUUCGUUCAUUAUUAUUGCUAUUGUAUUUCCACUGACCCGUACUGUUGUUUAGCUCUUCCUGAUCCGAUGAGUACUUCUCGCCUUCAUCGACUUGCGGUACCCACUAGGAGGGGAGACAUGUUUACAUGUUCUCACCUCCCCGACCAUUUUUCAGGUAUCGCGGGCGGUGAGAGUUGAGACGAGACGUGAGACACGUUCGUAGCGGUCGAUAGAGCUUCCGACCCAGGUUAUUCGGUUUAGUUUCUACCCUUACUAUUAUGUUGAUAUAGCUCAGAUAGUUUAUAUGGUUCAGUAUUUUUAUUACAUUUGAAAAUGUAGGUUUUCAUGAAUGUAAUAAAUGGAUUUGUGGAUUUUGUGAAAUGAAAAAUAGUUUUCUACCCCUUGUGGUAGCGCGUUUUAAAAGAAAAGAGUUUUCGUGUGGGAAACAGCUUUCAAAAGAUUUUUCAUAGUUUUCAUAACUUAGUAUUUCAAAAUUCGUUUCUGAGUUGGAAACGUUUUAACUGAUAGUUGUGAUUUUAUGUUCAAAUCAUGAAUGUGAACUGGUGGUGAAUGGUGUAUUGAUAUAUAUAGAUGUUGGAUGUCUGUAUGUUCAGUGUAGCAGUUGUAUCCUGGUUUGUACUUGUACUUGUGCGACGUUGUGCAAAUGCAGGGGAGACUCAGUCCGUGUGAACAGUGGAUUCCCUGUAUUUGUGGCGGAUCUGGCAUACCUCGUGGUCAGAUUUUUUUUUUUAAAAAAAAAAAUCCGCUGUGUUUUAA